UAUGGAGGGGGCGAGCGUUAUUCGGAAUUAUUGGGCGUAAAGGGCGCGUAGGCGGCCUUGCAAGUCAAAGGUGAAAUCCCUCGGCUCAACUGAGGAACUGCCUUUGAAACUGCAAGGCUUGAGGCCGGGAGGGGGUAGCGGAAUUCCCAGUGUAGCGGUGAAAUGCGUAGAUAUUGGGAGGAACACCAGUGGCGAAGGCGACUACCUGGACCGGUUCUGACGCUGAUGCGCGAAAGCGUGGGUAGCAAACAGG
RNAcentral lists this ribosomal RNA (253 nucleotides) under uncultured bacterium. RNAcentral describes it as "partial 16S ribosomal RNA". It matches the Rfam family "Bacterial small subunit ribosomal RNA", at positions 524 to 776 of the family's 1533-position model. The record is from RNAcentral.